UACGUAGGGUGCAAGCGUUAAUCGGAAUUACUGGGCGUAAAGCGUGCGCAGGCGGUGAUGUAAGACAGAUGUGAAAGCCCCGGGCUUAACCUGGGAAUGGCCAUGGAAACUGGCGAACUGGAGUGUGGCAGAGGGGGGUGGAAUUCCGCGUGUAGCAGUGAAAUGCGUAGAGAUGCGGAGGAACACCGAUGGCGAAGGCAGCCCCCUGGGCUAGCACUGACGCUCAGGCACGAAAGCGUGGGGAGCAAACAGG
This 253-nucleotide ribosomal RNA is filed under the name uncultured bacterium. RNAcentral's name for it is "partial 16S ribosomal RNA". It matches the Rfam family "Bacterial small subunit ribosomal RNA", at positions 524 to 776 of the family's 1533-position model. The record is from RNAcentral.